RNAcentral lists this long non-coding RNA (1035 nucleotides) under Numida meleagris (helmeted guineafowl). Its description in RNAcentral is "lncRNA (ENSNMEG00000003067.1)". Lineage: Eukaryota; Metazoa; Chordata; Aves; Galliformes; Numididae. The record is from RNAcentral.
AUGUGUUGGGGACCACAGUGGGAGCACUACAACUCACCUGCAGGUGACAAGAAACUGCCAUGUCGUCUCCUCAAUGUCAUCUCUGUGUGUUGGGACCACGGUGUGACCUCCUCAACCAUUUGUGGGUGACAGGGACCACCAUGUCACCUCCUCAAUGCCAUCUCCAUCUGCUGGGACCACCGUGGGACCUCCACAACUGCCUACAGGUGACAGAGACCCCUGUGUCACCUCCUGAUGACCAUCUGUGUGUGUUGGGGACCACAGUGGGAGGACCAUAACCACCUACAGGUGACAGAGACCGCUGUGUCAUCUCAAUGUCAUCUCUGUGUUGGGCCCGCAGUGGGUCCUCCAAGUCCCUGUGGGUGACAGGGACCACCGUGUCACCUCCUCAUCACCUCCUCCUUGCAUUGGGACCACCGUGUGACCACCACAACCAUUUGUGGGUGACGGGGACCCCCGUGUCACCUCCUCGAUGCCAUCUCCAUCUGUUGGGACCACAGUGGGACCUCCACCACUGCCUACAAGCAACAGGGACCCCCGUGUCACCUCCUCGAUGCCAUCUCCAUCUGCUGGGACCACAGUGUGACCACCACAACCAUGUGUGGGUGACUGGGACCCCUGUGUCACCUCCUGGAUGCCAUCUCCAUCUGUUGGGACCACUGUGUGACCUCCACCACUGCCUACAGGUGCCAGGGAGCACCACAUCACCUCCUGAUGACCAUCUGUGUGUGUUGGGACCACAGUGGGUCCUCCAAGUACCUGUGGGUGACAGGGACCCCCUUGUCACCUCCUGAUCACCACCUCCAUGUGUUGGGACCACAGUGUGACCACCACGACCAUGUGUGGGUGACGGGGACCACCGUGCCCCCUCCUGGAUGCCAUCUCCGUGUGUUGGGACCACCGUGGGACCUCCACAGCCACCUACGGGUGACAAAAAAACACCGUGUCACCUCCUGAUCGCCAUCUCCGUGUGUUGGGGACCGCACUGGGACCUCCACAACCAUUUGUGGGUGACGGGGACCACCGUGUCACCUC